CCCUUAGAUGUUCUGGGCCGCACGCGCGCUACACUGACAAAGCCAACGAGUGACUUGUCCUGUGCCGAAAGGCCCGGGUAAUCUUCUGAAACUUUGUCGUGCUGGGGAUAGUCCUUUGUAAUUUUCGGACUUGAACGAGGAAUUCCUAGUAAGCACGAGUCAUCAGCUCGUGCUGAUUACGUCCCUGCCCUUUGUACACACCGCCCGUCGCUACUACCGAUUGAAUGGCUUAGUGAGGCCCUCGGAUUGCGGCCGCGUCCUUUGCGGGAUGCGGCGGCGAGAAGUUGGUCAAACUUGGUCAUUUAGAGGAAGUAAAAGUCGUAACA
RNAcentral lists this ribosomal RNA (326 nucleotides) under uncultured eukaryote. RNAcentral's name for it is "partial 18S ribosomal RNA". It matches the Rfam family "Eukaryotic small subunit ribosomal RNA", at positions 1470 to 1796 of the family's 1831-position model. The record is from RNAcentral.